Molecule: long non-coding RNA, 334 nt
Organism: Mirounga angustirostris (Northern elephant seal)
Lineage: Eukaryota; Metazoa; Chordata; Mammalia; Carnivora; Phocidae
Exons: 3
Source: RefSeq, a predicted model, not a curated record
CAGGGUAAUGUUUAUAUGUACUACAAAUUGUAUGGCUUCUAUCAGAAUCUCUAUCGUUAUAUUCUAUCCAGAAGUAAUAGCCAACUGGUGGGUAUAGACUUAAAGGAUGUUGGAAACUGUGCUCCAUUUAGCAAGUCCCACGAUGGGACUCCCAUCGCUCCUUGUGGUGCUAUUGCCAACAGCAUAUUCAAUGAUACCAUUAUUCUUUCAUACAACCUUAAUUCAUCUAUACCUAUCAAAGUUCCAAUGCUAAGAAGUGGAAUUACGUGGUGGACAGAUAAGUAUGUCAAGUUUCAGAAUCCAAGUUACAUUAAUCUUUCUAGCGCAUUUGCAG